RNAcentral lists this ribosomal RNA (582 nucleotides) under Entoloma exile. RNAcentral describes it as "partial large subunit ribosomal RNA". It matches the Rfam family "Eukaryotic large subunit ribosomal RNA", at positions 85 to 651 of the family's 3401-position model. The record is from RNAcentral. Lineage: Eukaryota; Fungi; Basidiomycota; Agaricomycetes; Agaricales; Entolomataceae.
AACUGCGAGUGAAGCGGGAAAAGCUCAAAUUUAAAAUCUGGUGGUCUUUGGCUACCCGAGUUGUAAUCUAGAGAAGCACCAUCCGCGCUGGACCGUGUAUAAGUCUCCUGGAAUGGAGCGUCAUAGAGGGUGAGAAUCCCGUCUUUGACACGGAUUACCAGGGCUUUGUGAUAUGCUCUCAAAGAGUCGAGUUGUUUGGGAAUGCAGCUCUAAAUGGGUGGUAAGUUCCAUCUAAAGCUAAAUAUUGGCGAGAGACCGAUAGCGAACAAGUACCGUGAGGGAAAGAUGAAAAGAACUUUGGAAAGAGAGUUAAACAGUACGUGAAAUUGUUGAAAGGGAAACGCUUAAAGUCAGUCGCAUUAGCUAGGGAUCAACCUUGCUUCUGCUUGGUGUACUUCCUGGUUGAUGGGUCAGCAUCAAUUUUGACCAAUGGAAAAAGGCCAAGGGAAUGUAGCAUCUUCGGAUGUGUUAUAGCCUUCGGUCACAUACAUUGGUUGGGAUUGAGGAACUCAGCACGCCGCAAGGCCGGGUUUUAACCACGUUCGUGCUUAGGAUGCUGGCAUAAUGGCUUUAAUCGACCCG